Molecule: ribosomal RNA, 134 nt
Filed under: Microcebus murinus (gray mouse lemur)
Lineage: Eukaryota; Metazoa; Chordata; Mammalia; Primates; Cheirogaleidae
Source: RNAcentral
GCUUAUGGCCAUACCACCCUGAACAUGCCUAAUCUCGUCUGAUCUCAAAAACUACGCAGGGUUGGCCUAGUCAGUGCUAAUACUUGGAUGGGAGAAAAGAAGGACAAAAGAAAGGCAUCAAGCAGGCAAAAGCA